RNAcentral lists this ribosomal RNA (1450 nucleotides) under uncultured prokaryote. Its description in RNAcentral is "partial 16S ribosomal RNA". It matches the Rfam family "Bacterial small subunit ribosomal RNA". The record is from RNAcentral.
ACGCUGGCGGCAGGCUUAACACAUGCAAGUCGAACGGUAACAGAAAAUAGCUUGCUAUUUUGCUGACGAGUGGCGGACGGGUGAGUAAUGCUUGGGAAUAUGCCUUAUGGUGGGGGACAACAGUUGGAAACGACUGCUAAUACCGCAUAAUAUCUUCGGAUUAAAGACCUUCGGGCCUCGCGCCAUUUGAGUGGCCCAAGUGGGAUUAGCUAGUUGGUAAGGUAAUGGCUUACCAAGGCGACGAUCCCUAGCUGGUCUUAGAGGAUGACCAGCCACACUGGAACUGAGACACGGUCCAGACUCCUACGGGAGGCAGCAGUGGGGAAUAUUGCACAAUGGAGGAAACUCUGAUGCAGCCAUGCCGCGUGUGUGAAGAAGGCUUUCGGGUUGUAAAGCACUUUCAGUGGGGAGGAAAGGGUUGUAGUUAAUAGCUGCAAUCUGUGACGUUACCCACAGAAGAAGCACCGGCUAACUCCGUGCCAGCAGCCGCGGUAAUACGGAGGGUCCGAGCGUUAAUCGGAAUUACUGGGCGUAAAGCGUACGCAGGCGGUUUGUUAAGCGAGAUGUGAAAGCCCCGGGCUCAACCUGGGAACUGCAUUUCGAACUGACAAACUAGAGUUUUGUAGAGGGUAGUGGAAUUCCCGGUGUAGAGGUGAAAUUCGUAGAUAUCGGGAGGAAUACCAGUGGCGAAGGCGACUACCUGGCCAAAUACUGACACUGAGGUGCGAAAGCGUGGGGAGCAAACAGGAUUAGAUACCCCGUUAGUCCACGCCGUAAACGAUGUCUACUAGCAGCUCGGGUCCUCGGACUUGUUUUGCAAAGCUAACGCAUUAAGUAGACCGCCUGGGGAGUACGGCCGCAAGGUUAAAACUCAAAUGAAUUGACGGGGGCCCGCACAAGCGGUGGAGCAUGUGGUUUAAUUCGAUGCAACGCGAAGAACCUUACCUGGUCUUGACAUCCCGAAAAUUUACUAGAGAUAGUUUAGUGCCUUCGAGAAUUUGGUGACAGGUGCUGCAUGGCUGUCGUCAGCUCGUGUCGUGAGAUGUUGGGUUAAGUCCCGCAACGAGCGCAACCCUCGCCAUUAGUUGCCAGCAUUAAGUUGGGCACUCUAAUGGGACUGCCGGUGUCAAACCGGAGGAAGGCGGGGAUGACGUCAAGUCCUCAUGGCCUUUAUGACCAGGGCUACACACGUACUACAAUGCCCGAUACAAAGGGCAGCCCCUAAAAGCCGGUCGCAGUCCGGAUUGGAGUCUGCAACUCGACUCCAUGAAGCUGGAAUCACUAGUAAUCGUGGAUCAGCAUGUCGCGGUGAAUACGUUCCCGGGCCUUGUAGACACCGCCCGUCACACCACGGGAGUUGGUUGUACUAGAAGCGGUUGAGCUAACCUUCGGGAGGCGCAGCCAACCACGGUAGGUUCAGUGACUGGGGUGAAGUCGUAACAAGGUAACC